RNAcentral lists this transfer RNA (75 nucleotides) under Marmota monax (woodchuck). RNAcentral describes it as "tRNA.Ala". The record is from RNAcentral. Lineage: Eukaryota; Metazoa; Chordata; Mammalia; Rodentia; Sciuridae.
UUUGGAGGUAUAGCUCAGUGGUAAAGUGUAUGCUUUGCAUGCUUGAGGACCUAGAUUCAAUCCUCAGCUCCAAAA